GAGCUUACGUUUGUAGCUCACAUACUAAAAUUCAAACGAUGCGGGGGAAAUUAGCGCGGCCCCCGAGAAAGGGUAACAUAUAAAUUCAUGAAGUAUUCCAUCUUUUU
Rattus norvegicus (Norway rat) is the source of this 107-nucleotide small nuclear RNA. Lineage: Eukaryota; Metazoa; Chordata; Mammalia; Rodentia; Muridae. The record is from Ensembl.